UACAGAGGUCCCGAGCGUUGUUCGGAUUCACUGGGCGUAAAGGGUGCGUAGGUGGCUUGAAAAGUUUGAUGUGAAAGCUCAGGGCUUAACCCUGAAAUGGCAUUGAAUACUGUCGAGCUGGAGGUUUGGAGGGGGGACUGGAAUUCUUGGUGUAGCAGUGAAAUGCGUAGAUAUCAAGAGGAACACCAGUGGCGAAGGCGGGUUGCUGGGCCGACACUGACGCUGAGGCGCGAAAGCCAGGGGAGCGAACGGG
This 253-nucleotide ribosomal RNA is filed under the name uncultured bacterium. RNAcentral describes it as "partial 16S ribosomal RNA". It matches the Rfam family "Bacterial small subunit ribosomal RNA", at positions 524 to 776 of the family's 1533-position model. The record is from RNAcentral.